This 305-nucleotide ribosomal RNA is filed under the name uncultured bacterium. Its description in RNAcentral is "bacterial SSU rRNA". It matches the Rfam family "Bacterial small subunit ribosomal RNA", at positions 335 to 657 of the family's 1533-position model. The record is from RNAcentral.
UCACCUACGGGAGGCAGCAGUGGGGAAUAUUGCACAAUGGGGGAAACCCUGAUGCAGCAACGCCGCGUGGGUGAAGAAGUAUUUCGGUAUGUAAAGCCCUAUCAGCAGGGAAGAGAAUGACGGUACCUGACUAAGAAGCCCCGGCUAACUACGUGCCAGCAGCCGCGGUAAUACGUAGGGGGCAAGCGUUAUCCGGAUUUACUGGGUGUAAAGGGAGCGUAGACGGCGGUGCAAGUCUGGAGUGAAAGGCAGGGGCCCAACCCCUGGACUGCUCUGGAAACUGUAGUGCUGGAGUGCAGGAGCGG